UAUCAGUCAUGCAUAGCAUAUCAAUAAGCGGAGGAAAAGAAACUAACAAGGAUUCCCUUAGUAACGGCGAGUGAAGCGGGAAGAGCUCAAAUUUGAAAUCUUCAAGGUUUUACCUUGACGAAUUGUAGUCUAAAGAAGUGUUUUCUGUUGAAGUUUUGGUAAAAGUUCUUUGGAAUAGGACAUCAUAGAGGGUGAGAAUCCCGUAUUUGACCAUUACUUUCAGCUUUGUGAUACACUUUCAAAGAGUCGGAUUGUUUGGGAAUGCAGUCCAAAAUGGGUGGUAAAUUUCAUCUAAAGCUAAAUAUUGGCGAGAGACCGAUAGCGAACAAGUACCGUGAGGGAAAGAUGAAAAGAACUUUGAAAAGAGAGUUAAACAGUACGUGAAAUUGUCAAAAGGGAAGCGUUUGACACCAGUGUUGUUUUCUCGAAAAUCAAUUAAAAAGAGUUGGAUUUUGUGUUGUAUUGACUUUAUCGGCUUUCUUCACUCUUUUCCAGCUUUUUUUAAUGCACUUUUCGUUUAACAAGUCAACAUCAGUUUCUUUUGUUGUAAAAAGGUCAUUGGAAGGUGGCUUUCUCUUCGGAGAAAGUGUUUAUAGCCUUUGACUCAUGCAAUCGGAGAGACUGAGGUCUGCAGCGUAGAUCCUUCGGGGUUAGAUACAUUUGUGCUAAGUUAUAGCUUUUCAUAGACAACUUGUUGACUAUGUUUAGUCUUGUAGCUUACUCGCUUAUGCUAUUUUACCUACGCUUAGGAUGUUGAACUCUAUCACACACAG
RNAcentral lists this ribosomal RNA (773 nucleotides) under uncultured Neocallimastigales. RNAcentral describes it as "partial large subunit ribosomal RNA". It matches the Rfam family "Eukaryotic large subunit ribosomal RNA", at positions 22 to 621 of the family's 3401-position model. Lineage: Eukaryota; Fungi; Neocallimastigomycota; Neocallimastigomycetes; Neocallimastigales. The record is from RNAcentral.